CGAGCACGCGCGUGUGGCAUAUCAAUAAGCGGAGGAAAAGAAACUAACAAGGAUUCCCUUCAGUAACGGCGAGUGAAGCGGGAAGAGCUCAAAUUUGAAAUCUUCAAGGUUCUACCUUGACGAAUUGUAGUUUAUAGAAGUGUUUUCUGUUAGUGGAGUGGCAAAAGUUCUUUGGAAUAGGACAUCAUAGAGGGUGAGAAUCCCGUAUUUGGUCAUUCCUCCUAGCGUUGUGAUACACUUUCAACGAGUCGGAUUGUUUGGGAAUGCAGUCCAAAAUGGGUGGUAAAUUUCAUCUAAAGCUAAAUAUUGGCGAGAGACCAAUAGCGAACAAGUACCGUGAGGGAAAGAUGAAAAGAACUUUGAAAAGAGAGUUAAACAGUACGUGAAAUUGUCAAAAGGGAAGCGUUUGACACCAGUGUUGUUUUUCCGAAAAUCAAUUACUGAAUGGUUUGAUUUUGAGGAGUUAUGACCUUCAAUCGCUUGCUCCUUUCUUUUACUGAUCUUUCGUAAUGCACUUUUCGGUUAACAAGUCAACAUCAAUUUCUUUUGUUGUAAAAGGGUAUGAGGAAGGUGGCUUUCUUUUCGGAGAAAGUGUUUAUAGCCUUGUGCCUCUGCAAUCGGAGAGAUUGAGGUCUGCAGCGUAGAUCCUUCGGGGUUAGAUACGUUUGUGCUAAGUUAUAGCUUUUCAUAGACAACUUGUUGACUAUGUUUAGUCUUGUAGCUUACUCGCUGACGCUAUUUUACCUACGCUUAGGAUGUUGAGUCAUCACACAUCUCU
This 778-nucleotide ribosomal RNA is filed under the name uncultured Neocallimastigales. Its description in RNAcentral is "partial large subunit ribosomal RNA". It matches the Rfam family "Eukaryotic large subunit ribosomal RNA", at positions 19 to 614 of the family's 3401-position model. The record is from RNAcentral. Lineage: Eukaryota; Fungi; Neocallimastigomycota; Neocallimastigomycetes; Neocallimastigales.